AGAGAUCCUAUUAUACAUAAAGUUACAAAAUCAAAUCAAUCAAUCAAAUCCAUUAUAUCAAUGAAUCUGUCAUUCUAUUCUUUCUAUCAAUCUGCCCUUCUGUACCGUAGGCCCCUGCUGAUGGGCGCUGCUUACUAGUAGUUAAGUAUAGGUGUUGGUCGCGACGAGCAGGAAGCCAGCCGUCUAAUGGCCUUCUGGCCUAGAUGGUGGUUCGCACUGUAUUGCCCAGUCUGUGCUUGAUCAUUACACCUUCCAUUCUUCACCCUUUCAGUAUCCAUGAAGCUUUGAUUUACGAUAGUACUAGUAUUGAUGUUGAAAAAGUUCUUUACUAGUAGUGGCGGCAGUUAGUGAGGAAGACAAGAGUAUUCUUGACAGUGCAUCUCAUCCUGGUCAUCUCGUGGUGGUUCUGAUGAUGAUAUUUAUAGUGAUUCUCACAGACAUUAUGGUGGUUCUUGGAGAGGUUCUUGCGGUAGAUGAAGGAAAUAGCAAUGGCAGCGACAGCAGCGGCAGUGACUUAGAUACUAGUGGUC
RNAcentral lists this small RNA (530 nucleotides) under Histoplasma capsulatum var. duboisii H88. RNAcentral describes it as "Histoplasma capsulatum H88 hypothetical RNA". The record is from RNAcentral. Lineage: Eukaryota; Fungi; Ascomycota; Eurotiomycetes; Onygenales; Ajellomycetaceae.